Molecule: ribosomal RNA, 689 nt
Filed under: uncultured archaeon
Lineage: Archaea
Description: bacterial SSU rRNA
Rfam family: Archaeal small subunit ribosomal RNA
Source: RNAcentral
GGAUAACCUACCCUUAGGACCGGGAUAACCCUGGGAAACUGGGGAUAAUACUGGAUAGGCAAUUUUUCCUGUAAUGGUUUUUUGUUUAAAUGUUUUUUCGCCUAAGGAUGGGUCUGCGGCCGAUUAGGUAGUUGGUUAGGUAAUGGCUUACCAAGCCGUUGAUCGGUACGGGUUGUGAGAGCAAGAGCCCGGAGAUGGAACCUGAGACAAGGUUCCAGGCCCUACGGGGUGCAGCAGGCGCGAAACCUCCGCAAUGUGAGAAAUCGCGACGGGGGGAUCCCAAGUGCCAUUCUUAACGGGAUGGCUUUUCAUUAGUGUAAAGAGCUUUUGGAAUAAGGGCUGGGCAAGACCGGUGCCAGCCGCCGCGGUAACACCGGCAGCUCUAGUGGUAGCAGUUUUUAUUGGGCCUAAAGCGUCCGUAGCCGGUUUAAUAAGUCUCCGGUGAAAUCCUGUAGCUUAACUGUGGGAAUUGCUGGAGAUACUAUUAGACUUGAGACCGGGAGAGGUUAGAGGUACUCCCAGGGUAGAGGUGAAAUUCUGUAAUCCUGGGAGGACCGCCUGUUGCGAAGGCGUCUAACUGGAACGGUUCUGACGGUGAGGGACGAAAGUUAGGGGCGCGAACCGGAUUAGAUACCCGGGUAGUCCUAACUGUAAACGAUGCGGACUUGGUGUUGGGGUGGCUUUGAGCU